This 412-nucleotide long non-coding RNA is filed under the name Homo sapiens (human). Its description in RNAcentral is "novel transcript (contains ZIM2-AS1 and PEG3-AS1)". The record is from RNAcentral. Lineage: Eukaryota; Metazoa; Chordata; Mammalia; Primates; Hominidae.
GUCAUGAACUCUGAGAGUUUGAGAUGAGCCUCUAAAAGCUGUAUCAAUAGCACCUUGCACUGUUGAAGCAGCCUGGGUGACAGAGCUAGACCCUGUCUCAAAAAAAGAAAGAGAGAAAGAAAGAGAAAUAAAUAAAGAGAGAAAGAAAGAAAAGAAAGAAAACAAACAAGGAAGGAAGAAAGAAAAAGAAAGAGAAAGAAAGAAAGAAAAAGAAAAAGAAAGAAAGAAAGACUUCAAUAACCUAAGGAUGCACCUCAAGAAUCUAGGAAAGCGAGAACAAACCAAACCCAAAAAUUAGUAGAAGCCAUGAACUCUGAGAAUUUGGGCUGCAUUUUUAAAGCUGUAUCACUGGCAGUUUGUACUCAAAAAGCAGUGCUCUGAACAGAGUUCACCACCCAAGGGAGCCCUCUCU